UACGAAGGGGGCUAGCGUUACUCGGAUUGACUGGGCGUAAAGGGCGCGUAGGCGGCUUGUACAGUCAGACGUGAAAUUCCUGGGCUCAACCUGGGGGCUGCGUUUGAUACGUGCGGGCUUGAGUUCGGAAGAGGGUCGUGGAAUUCCCAGUGUAGAGGUGAAAUUCGUAGAUAUUGGGAAGAACACCGGUGGCGAAGGCGGCGAGCUGGUCCAUUACUGACGCUGAGGCGCGACAGCGUGGGGAGCAAACAGG
This 253-nucleotide ribosomal RNA is filed under the name uncultured bacterium. Its description in RNAcentral is "partial 16S ribosomal RNA". It matches the Rfam family "Bacterial small subunit ribosomal RNA", at positions 524 to 776 of the family's 1533-position model. The record is from RNAcentral.